Molecule: transfer RNA, 57 nt
Filed under: Ascoschoengastia sp. TATW-1
Lineage: Eukaryota; Metazoa; Arthropoda; Arachnida; Trombidiformes; Trombiculidae
Description: tRNA-Trp
Source: RNAcentral
AAGAUUAUAGGUUAUAAAUUAAACCAGUAGCCUUCAAAGCUAAAAAUUAAGGUCUUA